This 77-nucleotide transfer RNA is filed under the name Escherichia coli. RNAcentral describes it as "tRNA-Ile". It matches the Rfam family "tRNA". From Rfam's summary of the family: Transfer RNA (tRNA) molecules are approximately 80 nucleotides in length. Lineage: Bacteria; Pseudomonadati; Pseudomonadota; Gammaproteobacteria; Enterobacterales; Enterobacteriaceae. The record is from RNAcentral.
AGGCUUGUAGCUCAGGUGGUUAAAGCGCACCCCUGAUAAGGGUGAGGUCGGUGGUUAAAGUCCACUCAGGCCUACCA